CCUACGGGUGUCAGCAGUAGGGAAUAUUGCUCAAUGGGGGAAACCCUGAAGCAGCAACGCCGCGUGGAGGAUGAAGGUUUUCGGAUUGUAAACUCCUUUUGUUAGAGAAGAUAAUGACGGUAUCUAACGAAUAAGCACCGGCUAACUCCGUGCAAGCAGCCGCGGGAAUACGGAGGGUGAUAGCGUUACUCGGAAUCACUUGUCGUAAGGAGCGCGUAGGCGGGAUAGCAAGUCAGAUGUGAAAUCCUAUGGCUUAACCAUAGAACUGCAUUUGAAAUUGUUAUUCUAGAGUAUGGGCUAGGUAGGUGGAAUUCUUGGUGUAGGGGUAAAAUCCGUAGAGAUCAAGAGGAAUACUCAUUGCGAAGGCGACCUGCUAGAACAUAACUGACGCUGAUGCGCGAAAGCGUGGGGAGCAAACAGGAUUAGAUACCCUUGUAGUC
This 440-nucleotide ribosomal RNA is filed under the name uncultured bacterium. RNAcentral describes it as "partial 16S ribosomal RNA". It matches the Rfam family "Bacterial small subunit ribosomal RNA", at positions 338 to 795 of the family's 1533-position model. The record is from RNAcentral.